Molecule: long non-coding RNA, 1737 nt
Organism: Glossina fuscipes
Lineage: Eukaryota; Metazoa; Arthropoda; Insecta; Diptera; Glossinidae
Exons: 5
Source: RefSeq, a predicted model, not a curated record
UAAAGAAGUCCGUAAAAUCAAGUCAAUGGAAAAUCGGGCUUGGAGAACCACAAGUAAAAGAUUACAGAAGUUCGUCCGCAAAAUCAAGUCCAACUCUCCGCUUAUCGCCUCAUAUGGAUGAAGAUUCGCCGCCUGCCAAAGAUUAAAAAAAACCAUACACCUCUACUCAUCGUUUCAGCAUAAUGGGAUACUUCCGUAGGCCAAUGUUGUCCGCACACCGGCAUAGCAGAAAUUUUUAUUUAUUUAUAUGUAUGUUAUAUAUCAUUAGCGGGGCUUUUUAUUGAUUACGUAUUUUUACGUAUUAUUACGUAUUACUAUCUAUUAUUAUUAUUAUUAUUUUUGUAAAUACUAUUGCAAUUUCUAAUUAAUUCUAUAAUGGUGUAGACCUACUGGGGAGCCAGCCAUUUAAAACAAUUGGCAACGUGCCUAUCACGGUACCCCAAGGGUGGUGCGGAAAAUCGUAAAAACUAGGCUCCGCACAUUCUCGUAUUUGCGGUUUUGCGGAAGAAGCCUUCGAUCUAGCUCAACGCCGUAACAAAUUAGAACUUCACGGCGAGCUACUAGAACGUUACCAAAACUUUAUUUCUCGGAUCUGGCAUUUUAUUAAGAUAUGCUGGAGUCUCAUUAGCAAAAUCAUCGCAAGUCGGACAAUAGAUUUCCGAUAUUUCUGGCGCAUUUACGUCACUACGCAAAACCCAACCUCUUGUGCAUUUUUUCCCCGUUUUGAUACAGUUACCAGCCCAGCCGGUCGUUUUAUUUGUUGUUUUUUUAGGUGUCGCUGGGGAAUUUUUAGGUACGCUUGUCACUUCAACAUUGGCAUCUAAAGCGUCUGCAACUACUUCAAUUGUUUGAUUGUUUCCACACCGACAGCGGUGUUCUCUUUUGAGUUAUCCUCACCUUCACUUUCAGACCUGAUCGUACUCUUCCAGUUAGAGUGAUUAUGGAGUUGUUCCUUUGAUGCCGAGAAAGCAGGAAGUAGAUCUACAAUUAAUUGCGAAAUCAAAAGAGCAAAGAAAUAGUGUAUAAAACAUAAUAAAAUACAUCUAAAGUGAAUGAUAAUGAAACGGCAUUGGAUAUGUGGGCUCUGGGUUGCAUUCUAGGAGAAUUAUUAUCGCAUAAGCCCUUAUUGCCCGGCAACAUAGAAAUAGCUCAGCUUUAACUGAUUGUUGGCCUAUUAGGAACUCGUUCAAAAGCCAGAUUUUCCAAGAUGCCAGCCAUACAAAAUUUCGCUCUUAAACAACAGCUCUAUAACAAUCUAAAACCAAAGUUUCAAUAUCUGUCAGCGGCAGGUUUAAGACUUUUAAAUUUUCUCUUUAUGUUACAGAGGGCACGGCCAUCUUGGAAUUGCCAUUAACCAAAAUACCCAUUAAAACGGAAAAGCAGGCUUUGAAAACUCUCAAUAUAUGUUCUAAAAAGCUGAAGAGGAAAUCUGCAAGGUACAAGCAAAAAAAUCUUUCACCGAAGAACGUUAUGAGAAUGCUUUGGAAUAGGCGAUAAGAUCUAGGGAUACUUUGUAUGUUGCUUCUAUCGCCGACUACCUACUAAAGGAACAUUUUUACGUCCGUCAUGGGUUUUCUUCGCAAAAUGCGUUUCGUGUUACAAUUGAAGGCUAAAUGCGUUAAGAACUGAAUUAAUCAGCGAGGUAGGUGUGUCGUACUAUGUCGGGCGACUCGAAUCCUAAAUAUAUAUAUGUAUGUAUAUAUAUCUAUAUACAUAUCGACGAGUAGAUCUGUGCUC